AGUUAUUAAUUUUAAUGGACACUUUAACUGGUGUACCCAGAAGGAUGACAACAUGCAAACACCAUUUACCAUUCCAAGGAUGCAUUGCUAGAGUUUAAAGAAGUCCAGCAAACAUCAAGCUCCUCAUCCUUUGAUGAUUUUGUUUCUUUUUAUAAGCGCCUUGCGAAAGCUCUCUUGGAUAUUACAGCACUUACAUCAACCAGUGGCAUGAUAACCGAAUCCUGCCAGUGAGUUAGAUGAAAUCAAUCCAACAACUAACAUCAAAUGAACUACUAACAGUACGAAAUAAAUUUACAAGUCUCUAUUUGUCAAACUCCAUAUUCUUUUUGAACUCUUUGGAUCCAACUAAUGGGGUAGCUAACAUCAUUGACCAUAGAAGCUUUGACCAGAUUAGCAUAGUGAAUUCAACUCAAGUUGCUUGCUUUUGUGGGACAUAGUACGAUUUUCUACCUUUAUCAUUAUGUGCUAUUCAUGCAUUAGAAUUAAUGCAAGACAGUUUUCAAAUGGCAUAUAGGGUACCAAAAGGUUUCCUCAGGAAACUUAAUGAAAAUGCGUCCUGAGUUUUCCUUUUCAGCAUGUAGAUGAACUAAAAAAGAGCUUAUGCACAAUAUAAGCAAUUAUUCUACAGUACGGCCGAUAUUGUCAAAAGACAUUCUGCUAAUGUCUUGCUUAGCUCAAAAGUACCGGUAUAUAACAGUUGGCUUUUCCAACUCUACAAACAUCAAGAUGCAUUCUUUUGCUAAUACGUCUGUUCCAUCUGUUGAAAUUCCCUGCAAGUGUCCUUUGUAAAUAUUCAUUGUCCCUAAAUCCUCCAAAUUGCAUUAAUUCUAAGACACGAUAAGGCGUGUAAGACAUCUUGCUGACUUAACUUGACCUGACAGAAUACAUCAAGGCAAAAAGCGCAAGAAAUUACAUUGUAUCUUUCAAAAAGUGAGGCCUUCUAAUCCAAUGAGGGACAACAAUCAACCCAUCAAUUUUAACCCUUGUUACCUGUGGAUAAUUAAAAUAGUGCUGGACUAAAAAAAAAAAAAAACCAUAAUUGACAACCAGCAAACCACCCUAACUUGAGUCACCUUUAUCUAUUUGAAAUGCUCUUAAAUAUUUAUGAAAACUGUAGCAAGAUGACAUGAAAUGAAUAACUAACCACAAAACAGGAGUCAUUUACAAUUGCACAUCAUCAGUUUAGCAACUAAUUUGGUGCUAAUACUCUGGUACACAAAUGAAUAGCACAACCCAGUGAAGGCCUACCAAAAUAGUUACUAGAGUACAUGAAGGAAAUACUAAGCUGUCCACACUGUGCAGUAUCCAAGGAAUAUUAAGCUAACCAACUUUCUCGCUUCGAAGACAAGGAGACUGUCCACAACCUCU
RNAcentral lists this long non-coding RNA (1368 nucleotides) under Eucalyptus grandis. Its description in RNAcentral is "long non-coding RNA (EGRA_LNC005394)". Lineage: Eukaryota; Viridiplantae; Streptophyta; Magnoliopsida; Myrtales; Myrtaceae. The record is from RNAcentral.